UACGUAGGGACCAAGCGUUGUCCGGAAUCAUUGGGCGUAAAGCGCGCGUAGGUGGUCAUGUAAGUCCGCUGUGAAAAGUCAAAGGCUCAACCUUUGAAAGCCGGUGGAUACUGCAUGACUAGAGUACGGAAGAGGCGAGUGGAAUUCCUGGUGUAGCGGUGGAAUGCGCAGAUAUCAGGAGGAACACCAAUAGCGAAGGCAGCUCGCUGGGACGUUACUGACACUGAGGCGCGAAAGCGUGGGAGCGAACAGG
RNAcentral lists this ribosomal RNA (253 nucleotides) under uncultured bacterium. RNAcentral describes it as "partial 16S ribosomal RNA". It matches the Rfam family "Bacterial small subunit ribosomal RNA", at positions 524 to 776 of the family's 1533-position model. The record is from RNAcentral.